GAUACCACUUUUUUUUGUUUUGCGUUUGCUGCUCGUCGCUCGCCGCGUCGCGAAGGGCCGAGUUUGAGUGAAUUUUUCUCUUGUUUGAAGUGUGCUUGCGCCUUGUGCUCGUCCUGUGUGUUCUGCCGGUGCUGCAUAUUACGAGGAUGCGCUAUACUCAAGCGAAGACCGGCUGCUUCAUAUCGUGGAGCACUCACCAGCCUAUACGUGCUCCUUGUACAAAGCGAGUGUGAAAGAAAUCCGGACAAGCCUGUCAUCAACGCUGGCUCAUGGACAAGUUCGUUGCUGAUGUACAGCAGCUGCGCAUGGCUUCUGUUUCCUGUACAAGGGAAACAACGGAGUGGGCACUUCAGCCACCUGUUUGCUGUAUUCAAGUAGCUCACAUGUAGAGGGUGUUCAAAAUUAAGCUUUUUGUUUUUCUUAUAAAAAGUCCGCACUGUAAGUCACGUCAAAGCCACCUUUGCAGAUAAGUUAUUAUCCAGGGGGACACAAAGUGGGACAAUAAUUAUCGCUGUCAGCCAUGCAAUUAUUUAAGAUUUAAUAAUGAACUUUUUUAGUGACUGCAGCAAGCGGGCAUGUAUGAAGAAGUUUGAGCCAACUGCAUUUUUACACGAUUCCACUUGGAAGAAUUCUUCUAGCAUGUCUAGGCUCAUUCAGAUAUCCUGCUGCAAAGUUUAAUUCCGGCUUGCAUCAUUACACAUGCAGGACCUUGAGCACUGGCACAAAGCUCCUCCCUGAUGUGCCACGUUUAAUGUUACAGCGUGUCGAAGGCAUAGGCAAACAUGAUAGCGGUUACCCUUUUCCUGCCGGCUGGUGAUAGCAAGCAGUGACGGCUCGUCACACCAGGGAGUAAUAUUUUGCUGAUCCUCACCGCCUCGCAUCAUGCAAACCACAGUUAAACGUUGCAGCGGGAUAUCUCACAGCACAGACAUGCUAGAAGAAUUCUUCCAAGUGGAACUGUGUAGAAACACGACUGCCUCCAACUUUUCAAUACAAAGAUGCCCGCUUGCUGUAGUCACUAAAAAUUUCAUUAUUUAAUCUUAGUUAAUUGGGCGGCUGACAGCGGUAAUGCCUUACUUUGUGUCCCCAUGGAUACAUAACUUACCUGCAAAGUUGGUUUUCAUGUUUUUCCCAGGGCUGAAUUUUGAUGCAACCAUAAAGCACAAUCCUGAAUGUGUCAAUGCUGCUUCCUUGGCUUUGUAUUUUGUCUUUUCAAAAUCUAUUGAGUGAGCGGCUCUCUCGACUCGUGUGUCAUGUUUUAAUUAAUAUCUUAUGUGCAGUUAUCAUUUUUAAAAUUGAACUUUCAAUUUUGUGAUAAGGCAGUAGUGCAUCAAUUCACUAUUUUAUUUUCACUUUAAUAUUCACCGUACAUUUUAUUGUAAUAUGCUUUUCUAAUCAUAUUUCAUUGUCUUCUGGAAAUUAAUUUCCUAAGUGCAAUCAUGUGAUGUCCUGCUGUGAUGCCUAAUCAUAUUUAACUUUGUUGAUGAUAACUUACAGAAGGCAUUCUGAAAUAUUGAAAUGUAAGUCUCGGCAUUGGGAGAUGAAUGGUGGCGACAUUUUUUAAGCUACACAGUUUUAUCUGCUUGCUUUAGUUGUGUGAAGUAUAAUAGUAAUAAGUGUUUGGAUUUAACCACAAUAUGAUUAUGAGGGACGUCGUAGUGGAGGGCUCCUGAAAUUUCGACCACCUGGGUUCUAUAAGGUGCACCUAAAUCUAAGUACACGGGCUUCAAGUAUUUCUUCCUCGAUCGAAACUGUGGCCACCAAGGCCGGGAUUUGAUCGUGUGACCUUCGGUUCAGCAGUCAAGGGCGACUUAAAGUGUACUACUUUUGUGUGGGCUAUAGUUUCUUGCUUCAAAUUAUGCAUGCUAAGUAUGGCAUUUUGGUGCCAACCACGCAUCUCUGGUAGUGCACUGAUGUUGUGUUUGCCACAUUCUUCAUUUAUUGCAAUAUUUUUUAUUUGUGUAUUUAUUCUGAGUUUGUGGUGAAGUUAUGAUUGUUCCACUUCUUCCACUCUAGAAGGUUGCACACAUUUGUAAUUAACCCAUGAAGCCCAACAAGUCACUCUGAUACACUUGGGUGUGCAAAACUUAUCCAAGUAGCCCAUAGUGUUUAUAAUGCCUUGCAAAGUGCCUCUUGGUCAUAAAUUGCUGUCAUGAUGAGUUUCUUAAAACAUUUGUUUUUGCGUUUCCCCAGAAAUGAAUGUACUCUUCAUUACCAAAAAAGAUGCAGAACAAGUUAAAACUUUUAAAAUGUUAAUGAUGUGUUCAGGCGUUAUGGGGUUAAGGCUGAUCUGUUAACCUUAUUUUUCUUCAACCGCCGACAUAUGUACAUUGCCAGUUUGAAUAUUGUCUAUGAAGUGCUCUAAACUGUACAGUGUAAAUGAUAAUAAAUGAUUAAUAUUGCA
This is a long non-coding RNA of Rhipicephalus sanguineus (brown dog tick), 2404 nucleotides long. RefSeq lists it as uncharacterized. Lineage: Eukaryota; Metazoa; Arthropoda; Arachnida; Ixodida; Ixodidae. The transcript has 2 exons. The record is from RefSeq and is a predicted model, not a curated record.